RNAcentral lists this ribosomal RNA (497 nucleotides) under uncultured bacterium. Its description in RNAcentral is "partial 16S ribosomal RNA". It matches the Rfam family "Bacterial small subunit ribosomal RNA", at positions 28 to 507 of the family's 1533-position model. The record is from RNAcentral.
GAUGAACGCUGGCGGCGUGCCUAAUACAUGCAAGUCGAGCGAACAGACGAGGAGCUUGCUCCUUCGACGUUAGCGGCGGACGGGUGAGUAACACGUAGGUAACCUACCUAUAAGACUGGGAUAACUUCGGGAAACCGGAGCUAAUACCGGAUAAUAUUUCGAACCGCAUGGUUCGAUAGUGAAAGAUGGCUUUGCUAUCACUUAUAGAUGGACCUGCGCCGUAUUAGCUAGUUGGUAAGGUAACGGCUUACCAAGGCAACGAUACGUAGCCGACCUGAGAGGGUGAUCGGCCACACUGGAACUGAGACACGGUCCAGACUCCUACGGGAGGCAGCAGUAGGGAAUCUUCCGCAAAGGGCGAAAGCCUGACGGAGCAACGCCGCGUGAGUGAUGAAGGUCUUCGGAUCGUAAAACUCUGUUAUUAGGGAAGAACAAACGUGUAAGUAACUGUGCACGUCCUGACGGUACCUAAUCAGAAAGCCACGGCUAACUACGUG